UCGAGAAUAAUUCGCAAUGGACGAAAGUCUGACGAUGCGACGCCGCGUGAGCGAUGAAGGCCUUCGGGUUGUAAAGCUCUGUCGCCUUGGAGCAAGAGUAGAAGGGUAAUAUCUUUUUACGAUGAGAGUACAAGGAAAGGAAGCACCGGCUAAUUCCGUGCCAGCAGCUGCGGUAAUACGGAAGGUGCAAGCGUUAGUCGGAAUUAUUGGGCGUAAAGGGUGCGUAGGCGGCAUUCUAAGUUGGUUAUGAAAUUCUGUGGGCUCAACCCCAGAACUAUAACCAAAACUGGAAUGCUUGAGGGAUGGCGGAGAAAACGGAAUUCCAUGUGUAGCGGUGAAAUGCGUAGAUAUAUGGAAGAACACCUGUGGCGAAAGCGGUUUUCUAGCCUAGUCCUGACGCUAAGGCACGAAAGCAAGGGGAGCAAACA
RNAcentral lists this ribosomal RNA (428 nucleotides) under uncultured Chlamydiales bacterium. RNAcentral's name for it is "partial 16S ribosomal RNA". It matches the Rfam family "Bacterial small subunit ribosomal RNA", at positions 355 to 774 of the family's 1533-position model. Lineage: Bacteria; Pseudomonadati; Chlamydiota; Chlamydiia; Chlamydiales. The record is from RNAcentral.